GAUGAACGCUGGCGGCGUGCCUAAUACAUGCAAGUCGAGCGAACAGACGAGGAGCUUGCUCCUCUGACGUUAGCGGCGGACGGGUGAGUAACAUGUGGAUAACCUACCUAUAAGACUGGGAUAAUUUCGGGAAACCGGAGCUAAUAACGGAUAAUAUAUUGACCCGCAUUGUUCAAUAGUGAGAGACGGUUUUUCUGUCACUUAUAGACGGAUCCGCGCCGCAUUAGCUAGUUGGUAAGGUAACGGCUUACCAAGGCAACGAGGCGAAGCCGACCUGAGAGGGUCAUCCGCGACACUGGAACUGAGAAUCAGUACCGACUCCUGCGGGGAGCAUCAGUACGGAAUCUUACGCAAUGGGGCAGAGGCGUACGGUGCAAAGCCGGGUAAGUGAUGAACGUCCUCGGAUCGUUGAGCGCUGUUAUUAGGAAGGAGGUAAUGUGUAUGUAACUAUGCACAUCUUGACGGUACCUAAUGAGAAAGCCCCGGCUAACUCCGUG
RNAcentral lists this ribosomal RNA (497 nucleotides) under uncultured bacterium. RNAcentral describes it as "partial 16S ribosomal RNA". It matches the Rfam family "Bacterial small subunit ribosomal RNA", at positions 28 to 507 of the family's 1533-position model. The record is from RNAcentral.